UGGCGGACGGGUGAGUAACGCGUGGGUAACCUGCCUUACACAGGGGGAUAACACUUGGAAACAGGUGCUAAUACCGCAUAACCAUAGUUACCGCAUGGUAACUAUGUAAAAGGUGGCUAUGCUACCGCUUUUGGAUGGGCCCGCGGCGCAUUAGCUAGUUGGUGGGGUAAAGGCUUACCAAGGCAAUGAUGCGUAGCCGAACUGAGAGGUUGAUCGGCCACAUUGGGACUGAGACACGGCCCAAACUCCUACGGGAGGCAGCAG
RNAcentral lists this ribosomal RNA (264 nucleotides) under uncultured bacterium. RNAcentral describes it as "partial 16S ribosomal RNA". It matches the Rfam family "Bacterial small subunit ribosomal RNA", at positions 96 to 354 of the family's 1533-position model. The record is from RNAcentral.